Molecule: long non-coding RNA, 508 nt
Filed under: Salmo salar (Atlantic salmon)
Lineage: Eukaryota; Metazoa; Chordata; Actinopteri; Salmoniformes; Salmonidae
Description: lncRNA (ENSSSAG00000086251.1)
Source: RNAcentral
CUCCAACCCAGUUACACCUCCGACACCAUCAGCUAUGCCGGUUUCGGCUAUCGCCGGUGAGCACUUGAUCUGAUUGAAUCUAGACCAAGGUUAACAUGGUGGCAAACAUGGAGUCCACUGUAACAGGAUGCUCUGGGUAGAAGUUGCUCUUAAGCAGAUCUAGGAUCAGCCUUCCAAUCCCAAAGUUUGACCGUAAUCCCCCCCAAAUCUCAGUCAGUGUAUAGGUUCAACUUCAUCCUACUCCACAGUACUGUAGGUCUCCAUCCUGCUCCACAGUCCUGUAGGUCUCCAUCCUGCUCCACAGUCCUGUAAGUCUCUAUCCUGCUCCACAGUACUGUCGGUCUCCAUCCUGCUCCACAGUCCUGUAAGUCUCUAUCCUGCUUCACCGCCCUGUAGGUCUCCAUCCUGCUCCACAGUACUGUAGGUCUCCAUCCUGCUCCACAGUACUGUAGGUCUCCAUCCUGCUCCACAGUCCUGUAGGUCUUCAUCCUGCUCCACAGUACUGUAG